AGCUCGAUGGAGGGGGGUAACUACUGGAAACGGUAGCUAAUACCGCAUAACGUCGCAAGACCAAAGAGGGGGACCUUAGGGCCUCUUGCCAUCGGAUGUGCCCAGAUGGGAUUAGCUAGUAGGUGGGGUAACGGCUCACCUAGGCGACGAUCCCUAGCUGGUCUGAGAGGAUGACCAGCCACACUGGAACUGAGACACGGUCCAG
RNAcentral lists this ribosomal RNA (205 nucleotides) under uncultured bacterium. Its description in RNAcentral is "partial 16S ribosomal RNA". It matches the Rfam family "Bacterial small subunit ribosomal RNA", at positions 127 to 334 of the family's 1533-position model. The record is from RNAcentral.